Tympanuchus pallidicinctus (lesser prairie-chicken) is the source of this 3493-nucleotide RNA transcript. It is a transcript of the gene named vacuolar protein sorting 45 homolog, with no coding region annotated. The record is from RefSeq and is a predicted model, not a curated record. NCBI's taxonomy places the organism in Eukaryota, Metazoa, Chordata, Aves, Galliformes, Phasianidae. The transcript is spliced from 15 exons.
CGGAGCGGAGCGGGGCUGAGGCGCGCAGCGGAGAUGAACGCCGUUCUCGCCGUGAAGCAGUACGUGUCGAAAAUGAUCGAGGACAGCGGGCCGGGCAUGAAGGUGCUCCUGAUGGACCGGGAGACGCCCGGCGCGGUCAGCAUGGUGUACACGCAGUCCGAGAUCCUGCAGAAGGAGGUUUACCUCUUCGAGCGCAUCGACUCCCCCGGCAGGGAGCCCAUGAAGCACCUGAAGGCCGUCUGCUUCCUGCGGCCCACCAAGGAGAACGUGCACUGCCUCAUUCAGGAGCUGCGGAGGCCGAAGUACAGCAUCUAUUAUAUCUAUUUCAGUAAUGUGAUCAGUAAGAGUGAUAUCAAGGCAUUAGCUGAGGCUGAUGAACAGGAAGUUGUGGCAGAAAUUCAGGAGUUCUAUGGAGAUUACAUUGCAGUGAAUCCACACGUUUUUUCUCUCAACCUCUUGGGCUGCUGCCAGGGUCGCAGCUGGGAUCCAGCCCAGCUGUCCAGGACAACUCAAGGGCUGACUGCUCUGCUUCUGUCCCUGAAGAAAUGCCCCAUGAUUCGAUACCAACUCUCUUCUGAGCCAGCAAAGAGGCUUGCUGAAUGUGUGAAGCAAGUAAUCACUAAAGAGUAUGAGCUGUUUGACUUCCGUCGCACUGAGGUUCCUCCUUUGCUCCUUAUUCUGGACCGCUCAGACGAUGCCAUCACCCCCCUGCUGAACCAGUGGACGUACCAGGCUAUGGUUCAUGAAUUGCUGGGCAUCAACAACAACCGCGUUGACCUCUCGCGUGUGCCGGGCAUCAGUAAGGAUCUCCGAGAGGUGGUCCUGUCUGCUGAGAACGACGAGUUCUACGCCAACAACAUGUACCUGAACUUUGCAGAGAUUGGCAGUAACAUCAAGAAUCUUAUGGAGGAUUUCCAGAAGAGGAAACCUAAGGAGCAGCAGAAGCUGGAAUCCAUAGCAGAUAUGAAGGCAUUCGUGGAGAACUACCCUCAGUUCAAGAAGAUGUCAGGCACGGUGUCAAAGCACGUGACGGUGGUAGGAGAGCUCUCGCGACUGGUUGGUGAGCGCAACCUGCUGGAGGUGUCCGAGGUGGAGCAGGAGCUGGCCUGUCACAGCGACCAUUCCAGCGCCCUCCAGAAUGUGCGGCGCCUCCUGCAGAACCCCAAGGUGACUGAGCUCGAUGCUGCCCGGCUGGUGAUGCUCUAUGCCCUGCACUACGAGCGGCACAGCAGCAACAGCCUGCCAGGGCUGAUGGCAGAUCUCAAGAAUAGGGGUGUUUCUGAGAGAUACCGAAAGCUGGUCUCUGCUGUUGUGGAAUAUGGAGGGAAACGGGUCCGGGGCAGCGACCUGUUCAGUCCCAAGGAUGCUGUGGCCAUCACAAAACAGUUCCUCAAAGGACUGAAGGGUGUUGAGAAUGUGUACGCACAACACCAGCCUCUCCUUCAAGAAACACUGGAUCAGCUCAUCAAAGGAAAACUGAAGGACAGCCAGUACCCCUACUUGGGUCCCAACACGCUCCGUGACAGACAAUCCACAGCUGCUUAUCAGAUCCCUUCAUUGCUGUGCUUCGCCUUCCCUUUGAUUUCCGUUCCCAAGAGACUUGGGCACAUUUGCAUCUAGUUUUCAGAGCGGCCUGCCUGAACGCAGGCAAAAAGACAAGGUGCAGCACUGCUGUGCUCUGGGGCUGCUCAGUGGCUCAUGCUGUCGCUGCAGGGCAGAGCCCUCAGUCUGCCUGAGCAAGAUGUCUGAACCUGCACAACUUGGGUGUGCGCUUGCUGUAUAUAACCUGCUUGUCUUAAGGCGGCAGUGCAAAUUUCACAGCCUGUUCCUGCACAGGAGACACAGAGUAGCUCUGCAGGGAGACAAGCACACGGAAUCCCAGUCUCCGUAAGGGAAGCUGAUGCAGCACAGACUGAAAUCGCGUCCCGUGCUCCGGGCUGCAUGGCUGAGCCGUGCACAAGGACACUUGCCACUGUGUCCAGAGAGUGCUGGCAUAAGGCAUCUGAUAGAACGUGUUGUAAUCAUGUGGGCUUCUCUGCAGAGGAUUCCAUUCUAACUCUUGUACGUUACAAGGAGGCUCUGCAGUAAGUUGCUCACAGGUUUCAGGCACUGAGGCUGCAGUUUUCCCUCUCCUCCCCACACCGUCAGUCUGCCUCCACCUCCUAAAGUAUCCUGAAGACUUUGUUUUGGCUGUUCAGGGCAUGUUAUGCUGACCUAACCGAAGAAAACACCCAUGCUUAUUGAUUGUUGAAGAUUAUUGGUAACAAUGGUGGCUUUGAGGAGGGAUUUUUCUUACCUUUCUGCAUCCUUUCCAGGGGCAGGGAGGCAGUAGUGUGCACCCGAUGCUAACACACUUGUUUGGAGCCAGCAUCCCAUUCUGUUGGCAGAAGCAGUUCUGCUCUUUGUAGGGCUCUCUUGUCAGUGACAGCUCUUCUGAAGUGAGUGCCGCGGCUCCUCCGGGCAGUAACAGGUCUCUGGGGCUUUCCAGAGUGGCUUCUCAGCAAGGAGUAACCAAAGACAGCAUUAAGGUGCAUGCCAGGGUCAUCCCUGUCUUAUGCUUCAUUUGCUUUGUCACUGAUCCAGAGCUUGCACAGGCAGAGCAGAUGAAUGCCUGCUGCUUUUACCACUGCAGCAAGUGCCUGUGUUCUAACAGAGGUGCCUGCUUGGAAAGCAGAGACUAGUUUUGAGACUGUGACAGAAAGUUAAUUGUGUUGAGACUUGCCUGCUCUCCAGAGUUGAAACACUCUGGUUCCAGCAGGGGAUGGUGUGCAGCUGAUGGGAUGCAAUCCAGACCUUUCACUAUAGAUUGUGCAGAAAUCGUUCUUUUAGCUUCUAGGUGGUAGCAAAAGCUGAUUUAUGGGUGGUAAGCACAUUGUGCUAUCCUUGAGAACGGAAAGGCAUUGGGGAGAAUGGUGCAGGGAAAGACCAGCCUUCCCUUGAAAGCAGAACAUGCAGGACAUGAGCCUGGUUUUGCAUUUUGCUAGAUGCAGACACUUCCCAUCUCCCUUCCUCCUUUUUCCUCUGUAAAAUCCUGUAUUUAGGAUUCCUUAGGGAAUGUAGCCUUGGAGGUAAACCCAAGCAUAAAUCCUCUGUUCUGUAAUCAACCAGCAAAACUGCAGCUGAUCCGUGCCCUUCCAACCAACCCGAGAGCACUGAAGCUCCACUGCUGUCCUCGUUUGACUCCAAAUUGAUCUGAAUUUAACAGCCACAGCGGCGUCUCCAUCAUGCAUUGAACAUCGGUGAUGCGUGGCGGUGGAGCUCCGCAGGGAUACGGCGUGUGGGUGUGCAGAGGAGGCUGUCAGCACCGCGAGCACGGAGUGUAAAUGUUUAGGAGGGACAGUGUUUGAAAGGCCACUUCAUGGGCUGUGUGUUGUCAGUCUUCGGCCCAGCCCAUCACAGAAAUGAAACGUGGUCUGCGAGAGAAACCAGCAGGACUGCUGCCUCCGUGCCAUAGCUGGUACGGGAUUCAUGCAGGUCUGUAUUUGUGUCUUUA